Molecule: ribosomal RNA, 308 nt
Filed under: uncultured eukaryote
Lineage: Eukaryota
Description: partial 18S ribosomal RNA
Rfam family: Eukaryotic small subunit ribosomal RNA
Source: RNAcentral
CCCUUAGAUGUCCUGGGCCGCACGCGCGCUACAAUGACUCACUCAGAAAGUUUUUCCUGAUCCGGAAGGAUUCGGGUAAUCUUCAUAGCAUGAGUCGUGUUAGGGAUCGAUCUUUGCAAUUAUAGAUCUUGAACGAGGAAUGCCUAGUAAGUGCAGCUCAUCAGGCUGUACUGAUUACGUCCCUGCCCUUUGUACACACCGCCCGUCGCUCCUACCGAUUGAGUGGUCCGGUGAACCUUCUGGAUUAAGCAGCAAUGCUUGAGAAGUUAGGUAAACCUUAUCGCUUAGAGGAAGGAGAAGUCGUAACA